This 119-nucleotide ribosomal RNA is filed under the name Pteropus alecto (black flying fox). RNAcentral also lists the same sequence under 1 other name. Lineage: Eukaryota; Metazoa; Chordata; Mammalia; Chiroptera; Pteropodidae. The record is from RNAcentral.
GUCUAUGGCCAUGCAACCCUGAACACACCCGAUCUUGUCUGAUCUCAGAAGCUAAGCAGGGUCGGGCCUGGUUAGUACUAGGAUGGGACACCACCUAGGAAUACCAGGUGCUCUAGGCU